UACGGAGGGUGCAAGCGUUAAUCGGAAUUACUGGGCGUAAAGCGUGCGUAGACGGUUACAUAAGUCUGCUGUGAAAGCCCCGGGCUCAACCUGGGAAUGGCAGUGGAUACUGGCAAGCUAGAGUGCGGUAGAGGGUAGUGGAAUUCCCGGUGUAGCGGUGAAAUGCGUAGAGAUCGGGAGGAACACCAGUGGCGAAGGCGGCUACCUGGACCAGCACUGACACUGAGGCACGAAAGCGUGGGGAGCAAACAGG
This 253-nucleotide ribosomal RNA is filed under the name uncultured bacterium. Its description in RNAcentral is "partial 16S ribosomal RNA". It matches the Rfam family "Bacterial small subunit ribosomal RNA", at positions 524 to 776 of the family's 1533-position model. The record is from RNAcentral.